RNAcentral lists this ribosomal RNA (502 nucleotides) under uncultured bacterium. RNAcentral describes it as "bacterial SSU rRNA". It matches the Rfam family "Bacterial small subunit ribosomal RNA", at positions 28 to 517 of the family's 1533-position model. The record is from RNAcentral.
GAUGAACGCUAGCGACAGGCUUAACACAUGCAAGUCGAGGGGCAGCAUGAUUUGUAGCAAUACAGAUUGAUGGCGACCGGCGCACGGGUGAGUAACGCGUAUGCAACUUACCUAUCAGAGGGGGAUAGCCCGGCGAAAGUCGGAUUAAUACCCCAUAAAACAGGGGUCCCGCAUGGGAAUAUUUGUUAAAGAUUCAUCGCUGAUAGAUAGGCAUGCGUUCCAUUAGGCAGUUGGCGGGGUAACGGCCCACCAAACCGACGAUGGAUAGGGGUUCUGAGAGGAAGGUCCCCCACAUUGGUACUGAGACACGGGACCAAACUCCUACGGGAGGCAGCAGUGAGGAAUAUUGGUCAAUGGCCGAGAGGCUGAACCAGCCAAGUCGCGUGAAGGAAGAAGGAUCUAUGGUUUGUAAACUUCUUUUAUAGGGGAAUAAAGUGGAGGACGUGUCCUUUUUUGUAUGUACCCUAUGAAUAAGCAUCGGCUAACUCCGUGCCAGCAGCCG